Molecule: non-coding RNA, 83 nt
Organism: Ciona savignyi (Pacific transparent sea squirt)
Lineage: Eukaryota; Metazoa; Chordata; Ascidiacea; Phlebobranchia; Cionidae
Source: Rfam
GGCAGGAUGGCCGAGUGGUCUAAGGCGCUGCGUUCAGGUCGCAGUCUCCCCUGGAGACGCGGGUUCGAAUCCCGUUCCUGUCA